CUUAAAAGUCAGCCGGAUUAACACUACCAACAACUUUUUACCCCAAACUAAACCAUUCGCCACAUCAAGUAUCAGAGACAGAAAAAUACCCCCCGCGCGCCAGCUAAAAGUACCAUAUGGGAACACUGAAAGAGAACUAAACACCCAAGCAUAAAACAGCAGGGCUUCUACCCCGUACCUCUUGCAUCAUGGUUUAACAAGCACCCACAGAUAAAGCGCACUUUAACCUGCCCCCCCGAACCCAGACGAUCUACCCCAGAGCAAUCAACCAGGAUGCACCCCCCUCUGUGGCAAAAGAGCGGGAAGACUUUGCGGUAGCGGUGAAACGCCAAUCGAGCCUGGUGAUAGCUGGUUGCUCGAUAAACGAAUCUAAGUUCAACUCUAGCCAAAACCCCUCCGACCACUUACACCCAUGUAGUACCUAGAAGUUAUACAAUUAGGGGACAGCCUAAUUGUAAUCGGAUACAGCCCCAAAUGGAGGAACAGGACCCCGCCCGUUCUACCCCGUAGGCCCUUAAGCAGCCACCAAACAACAUCGCGUCAAAGCAGCACACACAAAAACCCCACCACUCAUCCCCACCCCCCACACACAACCGAGCCACCCUAGUUAAAACUAGGGGUAACACUGUUAAAACUAGUAAUUAAGAGCCACCUCUCUAUUGCACAUCCCUACACCGGCACGGACUAACCACCGGUAAUUACCAACUAAAACAACUCACACCACAUGUCACCCCGACACAGGAGUGCAAUAAAGAACAGGCAGACCGUCACAGAAGGAACUCGGCUAACAUGCCCCACCUGUUUACCAAAAACAUCGCCUUUAGCCAAACAAGUAUUAAAGGUAUCGCCUGCCCAGUGAGCCCCCUUAAACGGCCGCGGUACUCUAACCGUGCAAAGGUAGCGUAAUCACUUGCCCCCUAAAUAGGGGCUAGUAUGAAUGGCUAAAUGAGGGCCUAACUGUCUCCUGCGACAAGCCAAUGAAACUGUUCUCUCAGUACAAAAGCUGAGAUAGACCCAUAAGACGAGAAGACCCUGUGGAGCUUUUAAACACCACACUAACCCCAUCCAACCACCCAUAGUGCUAAUUUUUAGUUGGGGCGACUACGGAGAAAACCCAAACCUCCAUGAAACAGGACCUACACCACCCAAGGCCCACAAGCCCAAGGUACCCACAACCCCUUGACCCAGCACCACUGAACAACGAACCAAGUUACCCCAGGGAUAACAGCGCAAUCUUCCCCAAGAGUCCAUAUCGCCAGGAGGGUUUACGACCUCGAUGUUGGAUCAGGACACCCCGGCGGUGCAGCCGC
Molecule: ribosomal RNA, 1310 nt
Filed under: Phyllodactylus reissii
Lineage: Eukaryota; Metazoa; Chordata; Lepidosauria; Squamata; Phyllodactylidae
Description: partial 16S ribosomal RNA
Rfam family: Bacterial large subunit ribosomal RNA
Source: RNAcentral